RNAcentral lists this ribosomal RNA (289 nucleotides) under uncultured bacterium. RNAcentral's name for it is "partial 16S ribosomal RNA". It matches the Rfam family "Bacterial small subunit ribosomal RNA", at positions 338 to 626 of the family's 1533-position model. The record is from RNAcentral.
CAUACGGGAGGCAGCAGUGGGGAAUAUUGCACAAUGGGGGAAACCCUGAUGCAGCGACGCCGCGUGAAGGAAGAAGUAUUUCGGUAUGUAAACCUCUUUUGUCGGGGAGCAAAAGACGCCACGUGUGGCGUUCCGAGAGUACCCGAAGAAAAAGCAUCGGCUAACUCCGUGCCAGCAGCCGCGGUAAUACGGAGGAGGCGAGCGUUAUCCGGAUUUAUUGGGUUUAGAGGGUGCGCAGGCGGAAGAUCAAGUCAGCGGUAAAAUUGAGAGGCUCAACCUCAUCGAGCCG